GACGAACGCUGGCGGCGUGCUUAACACAUGCAAGUCGAACGAAAAUACCAAGCUUGCUUGGUUGAUUAGUGGCGAACGGGUGAGUAACACGUGAGUAACCUGCCCCUUACUUUCCUGGAUAACUGCUCGAAAGGGUAGCUAAUACGGGAUAUUCUGGCCUUCCUGCAUGGGUUGGUUUGGAAAGGUUGUUUUCUGGUAAGGGAUGGGCUCGCGGCCUAUCAGCUUGUUGGUGGGGUGAUGGCCUACCAAGGCUUUGACGGGUAGCCGGCCUGAGAGGGUGGACGGUCACACUGGGACUGAGAUACGGCCCAGACUCCUACGGGAGGCAGCAGUGGGGAAUAUUGCACAAUGGGCGCAAGCCUGAUGCAGCGACGCCGCGUGAGGGAUGAAGGCCUUCGGGUUGUAAACCUCUUUCGUCAGGGAACAAGGCACUACGUUUUGGUGGUGUUGAGGGUACCUGGAUAAGAAGCGCCGGCUAACUACGUGCCAGCAGCCGCGGUAAUACGUAGGGCGCAAGCGUUGUCCGGAAUUAUUGGGCGUAAAGAGCUCGUAGGCGGCUGGUCGCGUCUGUCGUGAAAACUUCCGGCUCAACCGGGGGCUUGCGGUGGGUACGGGCCGGCUAGAGUGCGGUAGGGGUAACUGGAACUCCUGGUGUAGCGGUGGAAUGCGCAGAUAUCAGGAAGAACACCGAUGGCGAAGGCAGGUUUCUGGGCCGUUACUGACGCUGAGGAGCGAAAGCGUGGGGAGCGAACAGG
RNAcentral lists this ribosomal RNA (755 nucleotides) under uncultured Actinomyces sp. RNAcentral's name for it is "bacterial SSU rRNA". It matches the Rfam family "Bacterial small subunit ribosomal RNA", at positions 28 to 776 of the family's 1533-position model. The record is from RNAcentral. Lineage: Bacteria; Bacillati; Actinomycetota; Actinomycetes; Actinomycetales; Actinomycetaceae.